This 5749-nucleotide long non-coding RNA is filed under the name Salvia miltiorrhiza (redroot sage). RNAcentral's name for it is "long non-coding RNA (SMIL_LNC000451)". Lineage: Eukaryota; Viridiplantae; Streptophyta; Magnoliopsida; Lamiales; Lamiaceae. The record is from RNAcentral.
UCUACCCAGUUUAAUCACGUUCACAAUAUGUGAUUCGAUAACAUCUUCAACAGCAUGAGCUGCAUCUGCAAUACGCAUCUCCAGCGGAUCAGCUUCAUCUCCAUCGGCAACAGGGGACUUAUAACUUUCAAGAAAUUCCUGCAAAAAGGUAACAAUUUGAGUGAGAGAUUCAACUUGUUGUUUGUCGAUAGAAAUUGGAGGGGAAGGGUGGUGCUCGAUCUGAUUGAUGGUAUUCAUAAGAGAAACUAUGGCUGCAUAGGCUGCCAUGAUCCAAGGAAAAACAGUGUAUAUUUUUCUGAGAAAGAAUUUGAUAGAAUCUGAGUUUAGGUUCAGCAAAACAAUGUGUAAAAUGGGUAUAUCUCCUCUUCUCAAUUAUUAUCAGAAACAUUAAUGCCAAACAGCUAAGAUAAGAGAAGACUUGUCGGUUGACCCUACAGUUCACUAGUCUCCUAUCACAUUUGUGCUAAUUAUGCUAAUUAUGAAAUAUUGACUAUGCUAAUUAUGAAAGAAUGGAGCUAAAGAGUAGCAAGCUACAAUUGAAUUNUUUUUUAAGUAGGUGAUCAUUUAGUGUAGCAUGCAUUAUGCUAUGCUUGUGCAUAAUAAUAAGAUUCAAAAUAAAACCUUUUGGAAUAUGAUUUAUCUUCUCGCAGUGCACUACUUUAAAAAAAAAAAAAAAAGGCGGGCAAUGUCCAAUCCUCAUACAGCUGAGAAACAUUAAAUUACAUGUAAAUUUAAAUAAGAACACUAUGGUGUAAACGUAUUCCAACCAUUCUGAAUCAAGUUCAAUAAAAAUUAUUAAUAUGAAAUUUUACACCACCUUAACCUAAAUUACCAUUUUUGUUGUCCUGCUUACUUAUAGCAUGAAACUUAGAAAGCUACACUCACUCAAUCUCAUUUGAUUAUCUCAUAUAGAAAAUUAUGAUAUAGAGUUUCAUUCUCAACUUUUGUUUUCAAUGAAAUCCAGCUUGUUUUCUUAUUCUUGACUAGGCCCAAGCCCAUCCCAUGAACAUAUAUAGAGAAAUAAAGGCUAUUUUUGCUUUUUGGAUCUAACCGAAGAAAUAAAGGUUAUAAUUAUCCCUAUCAAAGCUAUUGAAUAUUAUUGACGGCUCAAAGACAUCAAGAUAUGUUGUAGGGUUAAACAUAUGCAAAUUACUUGCAUCUUAAAACAGUAGUACAUGAAAAACAUGUCAAGAAAAUGAUGCACUCCAAAAGGCAUAGGUUGAUAGCAUUUCAUAAAUUUGUAGAUGGAAUGGGUUUUUGGAGACUGAUCCUCAUCGGCCACUCUUUUUAGCGCGCUCUUUCCUUGCCCUUUCUUUGGUGGCCCCUUUUGGCGACGCUUCAAGAUUUCAAGCCUAUUCAAUCACCUGCCACGAUCAACCAAGUUAGAAUUGCAGUAUUUUGGAUCCAAACAAAUGAAGAUCUUAUUCUAUUUUAGAUGGAGUCUACAAACUGAUUGAGCAUUCUACAAAAACAAGAUGGACUAUUUAAGUUUCCUUAUCACAUUUUAAGACAACUAUUCCUAUUUGCCAAGUAAUCUAUCCACAAGAACACUAUCAUAGCAACUUUUUUAAUGUUUGGUAUAGUAACCAUAUAAUAUUUCUCAUAUAGUAUCAUGCAUGCCACUGGUGCUAAAUGAUAGCAGGCCCAUAGAGUUUGAAUAUGUGGUUGAGAACUUAGAUUAAACAAUUAACAACUGUGUGAAUGGUGAAAAUCCUAUCACUUUGUACAUUUACUGAACUUAGAUUUCACAACUGAUAGUAUAAUUAUUUUUCACAAUUUCUGAUUUAUUCAAAGAAAUGGGAAUCUAAAAUUAUGGGUGAUGAAAUGGAUCUUACAGAAUUCAUUUACACAAAAAACGCUUAGAUUUUUUAUAUGGACUAGCAAGGGGUAACAAUAAUCCAAAACUUGAAUGAAUAAAUUGGGCCAAAUUCAAUUAAAAUCGCAGCCCAUUUUCUUUUAAAAGUAAAUCUGCCAACUAAUUAAAUAAGGGAGCUCAAUCCCAACACACCCAGCCCAUUUUCUUUUAAAAGUAAAUCUGCCAACUAAUUAAAUAAGGGAGCUCAAUCCCAACACACCCAGCCCAAUGAAUUAAAUAGAAAACAAAAUCGGGUCCAGCCGAAUAAAAAUAAAACCGGCCCAAAUGCUAUUGUAUACGUCAGCCCAAUCAAAUAAAAACAAAAGGAAAUUGGGCCAGCUAAAUUUAAAAGGAAACGGCCCAAAUAGAAGCCCAACCCUCAAGCCCCAACUGGAAUUGUUUGCGUUUGUAGAUGCUUGUGUGGAAUGUGGAUGUAUGAUUGUUUUGUGGUAUUCGAAAUUCAAGGAUUUCAAAUUCAUGCUCCACUAAUAUAUGGUAAAUGGGAGGCAGGCAAAACUGUGGAGUUGAUUCUUAACUUAGCUGGUUACAGGAAUGUGAAAUCAAAGGUAUGAAACUGGCUCCAGAAAUAUGUUCUUUCAUUUCCAACUUUGUCAUCUGAUGGAAAUACUCUUCAAGGAAUCCCCACAACACUGUGAAGGCUUUCUUCAAGGCUUUAAAUGCGGUAAAUGGGAGGAAUUAUAUUAUCUACAUUGAUAUUAUAUUUCACCAUUGUUUAUCCUUUUCUAUUCCUCUUUCUUUUGCUCGCAGAUUGAAACUCCCAAAGAUGUUCAAGAAAAGUUUGGCCGAACUGUGGUUGAAUCAUAUCUACUGUGAUAGGUAUGAUCUUCAUCUUUUCCUUGAGUUUCUCUAUUUUUGUGGGGAGGUGGUAUGUGAGUGGUGAACAUAUUUGAAUGCACUUAAGAUGUGAUGCCUAAUGGAGUUUACAAAGAAAGAAGGAUAAGUUAACUUUCAUGUCCUACUUAAUUUAUUGGACAUGGGGUAAUUGUGCCUAUAUACAUGAACUUUUAGUGAAUUCUGGUUUUCCACAUGAACUCAAUAUUCCGCCUCCAAAUACACAACCUUUUAAUUGUUCUAAUUUUUUGCACGACUGUCAAUUUUCGGCAAUCGUGGCUAGUUAAAGUUACAAAUUAAUAUCAUCGUGGCUAGUAAGAAGGUGAAUAGAAAAGAUUUGUGAUAAAUUAAUUUAUUAGUAAAAUAAAAAGAAAGGCAUAUAUGAUCCGGCGCUUAGAAGAAGGAAGAGAGAGAUAUUGAAAAUUAAUCACUCAAAUCAGUAUUCCCACAAUCGAAUUCCUCAUCACAUCAAACUACAAGUUUAAUACUUCUUCAAUUUGACUACACGAAAGUUGGGAGUUGCCAAGCUCUGCAGUUCUUGGCUGACGUUGAAUGACUCAACUAGAACAUGAAAGGAAGGGUCCCCUUGUAAUUCCUCUUGUUCCUCUACUAUCUUUUUCAAAGACACAACCAUUGUUUCACUGCAACCCCACAAUUGAAUUGAUUUGAGUGUUGGUAUUUCUCCAAUUUCUGAAGGGAACUCCUCCAAAGACUCCACGUACCAGAGAUGAAGUUGCUCAAGGCGUGGCAAGCAGGAGCCCUCUAACGUCCAACAUUCCAUAUUCAUACACUCAUCCAACCUCAAGUAUUUGAGGCUGGGGAAUUGGCCUUCAACUAUUUCCCACUGCUGUUGCAAACUGCCCAUCAUCAGUCGGAGCUUCUCAAGAAGUGGUAAUGAACUAUCUUUUCCAGAAUUUCCUCCAAGGAACUUCCCAUCGAAGAACAGCUUCUUGAGUGAGUGCGGGAAGCUAAUACUCUGCAGAUACUCAUCAUCACUUCCAUAUAAAAGCACCAAGCUUUCCAGCUUACUCAGACAUUGAAGAUAGCUGAGGCACUUCACUCUUCCAUUACUUUAUCUGAUCUUAUAACAGUUUCUUGAUAUUGGGAAUUCUCUUAACCAUUCUUCAUUCAAGUUGAAAUCAACACUCCUUUGAGCGUCUCUAGAUUCUCCAUAUACAUCAUAUCCCUCGGAGGAUCUGGGAGAUUAUUAUAUCGAACUCGCAUGCUUAAGCUGAUGCAUUUUCCAAAUUUCUACUGGUGCAGUAGUCCAAAAAACAAUUAGUGUGUGUAGAUUCCAGAGCAGACUAAUUGAAGAAGGGAUUGGAACCCCUCAGAAUCACCGAAAGGUACCUCAAGUUCACCAUUGAAACACAUUUUCUAAAUGCUUUAUGGAAUACUUAUAUGUACUCAAUGUCCUCAAAAAUCUAAAAUCUAGCAAUUGUGAAAAGUAAUACAAUGACAUAUGAAAGAACGAGCACGUGACGACAUAGUUUCCAAGGCAUCCCGGACUGUCAUAGCUGAAGUGCUUCUGGGAAUAACAAUGCGGCGUUGGCUAUUUAUCCCUCGAGGACAAUGUUGCCCUAACACAUAAUAAAACCUCUGCUUUUCAGCUUCUUGAAAUGAUAGAUCUCUCACUAAAUCGUGCAUUUUGCAGUACCUAAUAUUCCCAAGUUUCCCCAACUCAUGAACUAGAAUGAGGUUUCUAUCGACUAGCUCCUUCAUAUACUCUUUGGCAAUUGUUUUCGAGCUUUUAUUGAUUAUUGGUCUAAGAAAGCCUUCAGAAACCCAUAGCCUCAUGAGUUCUGAGACUCCAAUUCUCUGAUCUUCCCCAAACAUCCCCAUGUACAAAAAACAAGGCUUCAGAUAGGCAGGCAAAUGGUCAUAGCUCAGUUUCAAUACUCUCAAGCAAUAUUCAUCAUUUUCCGAAUUCACUAUUGAGCUUAAGUUUUUCUCUAUGUGCUCCCAAUACUCCAAUGUAAGUUCGGACUUUGCCAAAAGACCCCCAAUCACAGCAAUCGACAAAGGAAGUCCCUUACACUUCCCCACGAUUUUCUUUCCGAUUUCCUCGAGUUGAAGAGGAAAAACCUCAUCCCCAUAUACAGUUUUGGAGAACAAACUCCAGCUACAAACAUCAUCUAAAAAUCUCAUACCAAUGCUGUUAGAGUCUGUCAACUCAGUAGCCAAGUUUGAGAGCCUAGUUGUUACGAUUAUUCGACUCCCAUUAUUGUUAUCAGGAAAGAAAACCAUCAUCUUUUCCCAAACCUCUAUACUCCACAUAUCAUCAAUUAUUAUGAGAUACCUCCUACCGCAUAAAUACUUGUACAAGUUUUCUCCCAACUCGUUAUCGUCACUCGAAUGUCCGCUCACUUGUUUAAGAACUUGACUAAGUGUUUCUCUAACAUUAUAAGUUUGAGAAAUUGUAGUCCAUGCACGAAUAUCAAAAUGUUCCUUAACAAGGGCAUGCUCAAAUAUAUGUCGGGCAAGAGUGGUCUUACCAAUCCCGCCCAUCCCUGUGAUUGGGAUGAUUUGGCGGUUACGGUUGCCUUUAGUGAGCCAAUCCAAGAGUUGAAGUUGCACGUCAUCAAAGCCCACCAUCAUGCUUUCCUUCACAGUAGAAGAAGACGUCAAUGAGCCAGCUCGAGUCGAGGAGACCUUUCUCUGCAGCUGAGCUUCAUCUGCAAUCCCCAUGGCUUCCUUCUUAAUCACAUUCAUUUCUUCUAUCACUUGUUGUAGAUCUUCAUAGAAGUUGAUGAAACUGACUUCAUUGGGACUAGAUCUACCCAGUUUAAUCACAUCCACAAUAUGUGAUUCGAUAACAUCUUCAACCGCAUGAGCUGCAUCUGCGAUACGCAUCUCCUGGGGAUCAGCUUCAUCUCCGUCAGCAACAGGGGACUUAUAACCUUCAAGAAAUUCCUGCAAAAAGGUAACAAUUUGAGUGAGAGAUUCAACUUGUUGUUUGUCUAUACAAAUUGGAGGGGAAUGGUGAUGCUCGAUUGUCUCGAUGGUAUGCAUAAGAGAAACCAAGGCUGCAUAUGCCGCCAU